AAUUACCUGAAAGAUCCUAUGGAGCUGAUUGCCGUAUUUAUGUCCCAGAGAAUCCAAAAAACAGGUUUAUCAAUGUUUAUAAUACAUUAUUUGAUGAGUUUGUUCUUGCUCAUAUUUUUGGAUGGUGGGGUAAGGCAAUAAUGAUACGAAACCAGCCCCUUCUGUGGGUGUUGUCAAUUGGCUUCGAAUUAAUGGAGUUUACUUUUCGCCACAUGUUGCCAAAUUUCAAUGAGUGCUGGUGGGACAGUAUUAUUUUGGACAUCUUGAUCUGCAAUUGGUUUGGUGAGACCUUAGUUACUCUCUUGUUACCUGCAAAUGGAUGCGAAAAUAAUUACUUUAGUA
This is a long non-coding RNA of Zingiber officinale, 342 nucleotides long. RefSeq lists it as uncharacterized. The record is from RefSeq and is a predicted model, not a curated record. NCBI's taxonomy places the organism in Eukaryota, Viridiplantae, Streptophyta, Magnoliopsida, Zingiberales, Zingiberaceae. The transcript has 3 exons.